ACUUAAUCAACUUUUCACAUUUGAAGAAUUAACCACAUGUAUUGACCAUAUCUUGUUGUCAAUUUAUCAGCUUAUACUAUAGUAUCUCGCUGAUGAUACGAAUGCUCUUAAAGGACAACUAUAGAUUUCAUAAAAUGCAUUAUGACAGCUGAGGAAUUAAGCUUUGAGGUUUGUUUGGUACAGUUUCUAUCGAACCCGGAAUUUUGAGAGCGUAAUGCCCAAAUGUUCCUGAAUGCAUCAAUCAAAUCUAACGUCACAUCAACGCAUCUCCGUCAAAUUCCUCUGAAGUCUUGACCGACAACAGAGCAUCCUCCUUAUCUGCAUUGUGUUUGACCAUAACGGCUGGUGACUCUAAAGUGCAAGUUCACACAUCAAUUCAGAUAUUGCUCCUGCCAGUGUUGGUGACUCCUUGGAUAUUUGACAGUGUCCUGCUGUCCAGCAUCUCUCCCCCCUAUCCCUAUCUUUGUAUCCCUCUUCUAUCCCACUCUAUCUGUAUACGGAAGCCUGAAAACCCUGAUAUUCUGAAACCUGAACCCUGAACCCUGAAACCUGAACCUAAGGUUAUUGCAACCUGUCUGAACAGAACUCUGAGAGUAUCUCCACUCUUCCGCUCUCUGUCUCUCCUCUGAACACUCACUCACCCGGGUUAUUGGUACCUGAUCUACCUUUUUGAAUGAUCUGAGAGAUUCUCUUCUCUCACUCUCACCUCUCUCCUAUCAACUCCUAUAUUUAUACAAUACUAUUACUAUUACUGUUACUAAUUUGACAAAACAUUUGAAAUUUACUAUUAAUGAGAUUAACAAAAUUGGCCUGAACAAAGAAUUGAAAAGUUAAUUCAGAAGCUGAAAAAAAGUACAAAUCUUUUGUUAUAAUUGAAAAAACUACACCUUGAUCCAAAGAAUUGGAUUGUAAAAAAAAGUACUGUUUAUAAUUGAAUCAGGUAGAUUUCCUGAUACACUAUUUGCAAAAGUGCAUUGAAUUAACAUAAUUAAAGACAACUGCACUCUGAUACAUAAUAAAAUACAUAACUAUUACAAAUCCAUAUUAGAGAAGUGUAUUUGCUCCUGAUCGCUGUUGCUGUGGACCUCUGUUGGUUUGUACUCAAAGGUUUGUUUUGUGAGCAAACACUGUUGUUAACUUGAUUAGUCUACGUACAAGGAAAAAUAAUCCCGCUACAUGCAUUGAAUCAAUUAUACCUAAUUAAUGAAUACAUAAUUUUUUCUUAUAAACUUACAUUGUGCAUAUCAGUGUUUUGUUGUUUAUACUGAAAUAAAACACAGACGUCAACCAGGAAGAAGUGGAUUCAUCAGGAGUGGCUGUUUCCUGCUGAUCCAACGUUCUUCAGAAGUAUCCAUCUGUCAUCACACUCCCACAACAACUGCUCCUGAAUAUAAACAAUAGCCUAAUAAAGUAUUAAGAUCAUUUCUACCAGUAAAUUUAGCCAUUUGAAAUCUGAAGGGCCCUUUGAGUCAACUGGUUCCAAGUUGUGUGUUUGUGGUAGACUUCAGUUUUUACAUUGAUUAUAUAUUUCCACAGACAAGUCAAGGUCUCAGUAAGCAAUAUCUCUUACAUAU
Long non-coding RNA from Gasterosteus aculeatus aculeatus (three-spined stickleback), 1574 nucleotides. Lineage: Eukaryota; Metazoa; Chordata; Actinopteri; Perciformes; Gasterosteidae. The record is from Ensembl.